Molecule: non-coding RNA, 419 nt
Organism: Microcebus murinus (gray mouse lemur)
Lineage: Eukaryota; Metazoa; Chordata; Mammalia; Primates; Cheirogaleidae
Source: RefSeq, a predicted model, not a curated record
AUGGUCAAUGUACCUAAAACUUGAAGAACUUUCUGUAAGAAGUGUGGGAGGCAUCAACCUCACAACGUGACCCAGUAUAAGAAGGGCAAGGAUUCCCUGUAUGCCCAGGGAAAGAGGUGCUAUGAUCGGAAGCAGAGUGGCUAUGGUGGGCAAACAAAGCCAAUUUUCCGGAAGAAGGCUAAAACCACAAAGAAGAUUGUGCUAAGGCUGGAAUGUGUUGAGCCUAACUGCAGAUCCAAGAGGAUGCUGGCCAUUAAGAGAUGCAAGCAUUUUGAACUGGGAGGAGAUAAGAAAAGAAAAGGCCAAGUGAUCCAGUUCUAAACUUUGGGACUCUUUUUGUCCUUUAAUCUUGAGGAGAAAAUGUUGAAGCUGUAGAAAAAUUACUUGUAGGGAAAUAAAUACAAUGAUAUUAAAAAAAA